Long non-coding RNA from Tripterygium wilfordii, 890 nucleotides. RefSeq lists it as uncharacterized. The transcript is spliced from 3 exons. The record is from RefSeq and is a predicted model, not a curated record. NCBI's taxonomy places the organism in Eukaryota, Viridiplantae, Streptophyta, Magnoliopsida, Celastrales, Celastraceae.
ACUUUGGAGACGGUGGAUCUUCGCAAUUGCAACAGAACUGUAAUACGAUGGAACACUGCUACUGUCAGGGGAAUGCUUCAACAGAUAAAGAGAUUGGUGGUGAUUGAAACGUAAGAGAUGUAAAAGGUUCCACGCACGCCGCGCUUAUAAACCAUUUGGCUGGAACUGCAAGUGGUUAUUCUUGACUGUCUAUUUUUCUUGAGGCAAACGCCUCCCCUGCACCCACUAGAAAAUACUGAGGGACCAGCCAGAAAGCACUUAUUUGGGUUUUCUUUUCAACAGCAUUGUCCCUCCGUUCUUUCUCAAUAAUGGCAGCUGCCACCAUGGCAACUAUUGCAAGAAUGAGACCCAUUCCAACCCUUUGAAGGCAAGUGAUUCCUUGGGCAUUGUGUGUGAGUCUCCGAGCCAGAGGAACAAAGAGCCUUUCAUUUAAGGAAGUGAAGAGGAGAAUGGUGAUGAAGAGAAAGGCAGAGAAAGAACCUGCAGGAAUGGUCACGGAGCCGAGUUUUCUGUUCAUGAAAGUUGCUUGUUCUACCGUAAAAGUAGUCAUUUGAGAAUAUAUGGUCCAAAAGAGAAUGCAGGUUGACCAAACGGGGAUAAGCUUCAGUACCAGCUUCACCUCUUCAACUUCGGUGACAGUUGAAACUAUCCAAGGGUCACUUUUGUUUCUUGAGCCAGCCGAAUAAUCUUCUAGUAUUGCAGCCUUGUCAAGACAGCUAAACAAUGCAUGCACAUGAACACAAAGCGUUGUCAAUUCCAAGGAAAAGAUAUUGCUGAUUAGAAGGUAUGAGUUUCGAAUUUACUGAAACUUGUAGUUGCUAUAUGAUCCUAGAAAUCUUAGGAUUUGAAGUUGAGACUUUUGGUUUGUGGAAAUAACCAGGUUAGAACAA